RNAcentral lists this ribosomal RNA (418 nucleotides) under uncultured bacterium. RNAcentral's name for it is "bacterial SSU rRNA". It matches the Rfam family "Bacterial small subunit ribosomal RNA", at positions 356 to 773 of the family's 1533-position model. The record is from RNAcentral.
AGGGAAUAUUGGUCAAUGGACGGAAGUCUGAACCAGCCAUGCCGCGUGCAGGAAGAAGGUCCUCUGGAUUGUAAACUGCUUUUGUCCGGGAAUAAAUCUGUCUUAAGAGGCAGUUGAAGGUACCGGGAGAAUAAGCACCGGCUAACUCCGUGCCAGCAGCCGCGGUAAUACGGAGGGUGCAAGCGUUGUCCGGAUUUAUUGGGUUUAAAGGGUGCGUAGGCGGCCUAUUAAGUCAGUGGUGAAAGCCGGUAGCUCAACUAUCGAAAUGCCAUUGAUACUGAUAGGCUUGAGUACAGUUGAGGUAGUUGGAAUGAGUAGUGUAGCGGUGAAAUGCAUAGAUAUUACUCAGAACACCGAUUGCGAAGGCAGAUUACUAAACUGGAACUGACGCUGAGGCACGAAAGUGUGGGGAUCAAAC